GUGAAUCAUCAAAUCUUUGAACGCAAAUUGCACUCUCUGGUAUUCCGGAGAGUAUGCCUGUUUGAGGGUCAGUUUAAAUAAAAAUCGGUGUGGUUGCUGCCUUUCGUGGUGACGCACCGGAGAUUGGGCUACCUUUAACUUUCGGGUUUAAGAUGCUUAAAAUUGAACUUUUUUUCGCACUUUUAGACGUCCAUAAAUUUAUUUUAUCGUUUAUUCUGGUUCCAAUUAUCUAUUAGUUGCGAUCAUGUUAUAUGAUCUCCUUCCUAUAAUUUCUCAUCUUUUGACCUCAAAUCAGUUAAGG
This 301-nucleotide unclassified non-coding RNA is filed under the name Glomeraceae sp. Its description in RNAcentral is "partial contains 5.8S ribosomal RNA and internal transcribed spacer 2". The stretch from base 1 to 71 matches the Rfam family "5.8S ribosomal RNA", at positions 84 to 154 of the family's 154-position model. The record is from RNAcentral. Lineage: Eukaryota; Fungi; Glomeromycota; Glomeromycetes; Glomerales; Glomeraceae.